ACAGAGGCUAGAAGUCCUAACAAGAGGAGUACAAAAUGCAAUGGAAAUAGAAAUGUACAGUUCUCCUAUACAGAACAAAAGGAUUCAGGCUGAAAAUGGACAAAAAUUGAAUCCCAUUUGAAAGUGGAGCUUGCAAUAUGAGUUUACUUGUCACAUAUUUCAGACGAUGUUCUGUUUCCCCAACCCUCCUUCUGCAGCCCUCCAUAAGGGGAAUGGAUGCCAGUAUCUGCUCAGUGAUUGGUUGCAGUUCUAAUUGUUGAGUUCUACAAGUUUCUUGUUCUCUUUAAUUGACUAUUUUUGGUAAAAACUCAUACUCCCUUGAGUGGAGAAUAGAACAGCCAAAUAGGGCCAUGUGGAAGACCUCUGGGAACCAGG
Mesocricetus auratus (golden hamster) is the source of this 375-nucleotide long non-coding RNA. RefSeq lists it as uncharacterized. Lineage: Eukaryota; Metazoa; Chordata; Mammalia; Rodentia; Cricetidae. The record is from RefSeq and is a predicted model, not a curated record. The transcript has 3 exons.